UUAUUUAGUGCUUGGCUUUAUUGAGGGUGUUCAAUAGUUGAUUCCAGUGUUGUUGUUUUUUUGUUUGAAAUUGUUAAACCUAGGGUUUUGAAAUUUGGGGGUUUUGGUAUAAUUGUAAUUUAAUUUUAUGAUUAAUUGAUUUGGGUUGUUUGAAUUAGGGUCUGCACCAUAAUUAUGAUUGAUUUUAUAUUUUUAUUGUCCAUUUUUUCUCAUGGUUAUUGCACCAUAUUCAGUAGCUAUUACCUGUAUUCAAAUUGCAAGCACAACUACGUUGUAUUCUUUCAUUUAUAAGGAAAUUCAUUAAUCUUGGUUCUUUCAUUUAUAAUUUUAUAAUUAUCUUUUAUUAUUACAGUUGUGUACAAAAAAAAAAAAUUGGGGGGCAUAAUUUUUUUUUUUGCUUCGGGGCAAAAAAAGUUCAGGAACGGCCCUGCAUUUCUGUACUGGUUGUGUUGUCUCUCUGCAUGAUGAAACUCCGUUUGCUACAAGUCUCGAUGAAUUUCUAUAGCAAUGAGAUAGGGAGGUUUAAGUACAAAUUUGCGACUUCUCACUGAGUUUAUCUGAAUGAAUCCAAGUGACAUGCGUGUAAGUUUGAAAAAACGUAUCUAAGUACUCUGCCAAGGUAUGCCCAGAAAGAGAGUGGAAGUACUAGUAUUUCAAAGGGAAGAUCAAACUCAACGUGUAUGUGGAAGAGAUGCAGAUCAAAUAAAUCGAAUCAGGCCAAAUGAAAAUGAACUAAGGGACAAGAGGAUAUUAUGAGCAAAGCGUCAAAGACUGGGUAUUUGAGCUAAAGAAUGGAUGAGGAAGAUGUGAUUCAAGAUCAUCGGAUGUAAAAAUUGUCUGAAAGUGCAACAUUGUAAAUUUUUUUGCAAGGAUUUCUGAUGUCAAUUGCAGGAAAUUGUGAUUUAAGAUGUCAACUGCCAUGGGACAGAAGGAUUAUGAAGAAAGGCUGGGUAUUUGAGCUAAAGAACCGAAGAGGAAGAUGGGAUUUCAACAUCAUAUCGUAUCAACUCUGUAACUUCUUUUUGCAAGGAUUUCAGAUUUCAAUUGCAGGUUACAAGCAUUGUGGGGUUACAGCUAAGCAUUAGUCCAGCCGUGUGAACUAUGCAGUAUUUUCGAUUUUAUUUGUAUUUCUUUUUUUUAGUACCAGCAAAUUUGCAUCUAAAAAGAAAGGUAUUGCAGAGAAGAUCUUUAAUACACCCUAGAAAUCAUUGCAACUCAAACUUAAUAAGAUGUAACACGCAUUGGUUAUCAGUUACUUUUCUUUGAAUUCACAUUUGGUACUGGAAAUGAGUAUAAGUUUAUUCUUC
Papaver somniferum (opium poppy) is the source of this 1307-nucleotide long non-coding RNA. RefSeq lists it as uncharacterized. NCBI's taxonomy places the organism in Eukaryota, Viridiplantae, Streptophyta, Magnoliopsida, Ranunculales, Papaveraceae. The transcript has 5 exons. The record is from RefSeq and is a predicted model, not a curated record.